GAUGAACGCUGGCGGCGUGCCUAAUACAUGCAAGUCGAGCGAACAGACGAGGAGCUUGCUCCUCUGACGUUAGCGGCGGACGGGUGAGUAACACGUGGAUAACCUACCUAUAAGACUGGGUUAACUUCGGGAAACCGGAGCUAAUACCGGAUAAUAUAUUGAACCGCAUGGUUCAAUAGUGAAAGACGGUUUUGCUGUCACUUAUAGAUGGAUCCGCGCCGCAUUAGCUAGUUGGUAAGGUAACGGCUUACCAAGGCAACGAUGCGUAGCCGACCUGAGAGGGUUAUCGGCCACACUGGAACUGAGACACGGUCCAGACUCCUACGGGAGGCAGCAGUAGGGAAUCUUCCGCAAUGGGCGAAAGCCUGACGGAGCAACGCCGCGUGAGUGAUGAAGGUCUUCGGAUCGUAAAACUCUGUUAUUAGGGAAGAACAAAUGUGUAAGUAACUAUGCACGUCUUGACGGUACCUAAUCAGAAAGCCACGGCUAACUACGUG
RNAcentral lists this ribosomal RNA (497 nucleotides) under uncultured bacterium. Its description in RNAcentral is "partial 16S ribosomal RNA". It matches the Rfam family "Bacterial small subunit ribosomal RNA", at positions 28 to 507 of the family's 1533-position model. The record is from RNAcentral.